UACGGAGGGUGCGAGCGUUAAUCGGAAUUACUGGGCGUAAAGCGUGCGUAGGCCGUUCGUUAAGUCAGAUGUGAAAGCCCCGGGCUUAACCUGGGAACGGCAUUUGAAACUGGCGGACUAGAGUUUAGUAGAGGGGAGUGGAAUUUCAGGUGUAGCGGUGAAAUGCGUAGAUAUCUGAAGGAACACCAGUGGCGAAGGCGACUCCCUGGACUAGAACUGACGCUGAGGUACGAAAGCGUGGGUAGCAAACAGG
Molecule: ribosomal RNA, 253 nt
Filed under: uncultured bacterium
Lineage: Bacteria
Description: partial 16S ribosomal RNA
Rfam family: Bacterial small subunit ribosomal RNA
Source: RNAcentral